CGGUCUGGUGGCGAGUGGCGAACGGGUGAGUAAUGUAUCGGAACGUGCCUAGUAGCGGGGGAUAACUACGCGAAAGCGUAGCUAAUACCGCAUACGCCCUACGGGGGAAAGCAGGGGAUCGCAAGACCUUGCACUAUUAGAGCGGCCGAUAUCGGAUUAGCUAGUUGGUGGGGUAACGGCUCACCAAGGCGACGAUCCGUAGCUGGUUUGAGAGGACGACCAGCCACACUGGGACUGAGACACGGCCCAGACUCCUACGGGAGGCAGCAGUGGGGAAUUUUGGACAAUGGGGGAAACCCUGAUCCAGCCAUCCCGCGUGUGCGAUGAAGGCCUUCGGGUUGUAAAGCACUUUUGGCAGGAAAGAAACGUCAUGGGCUAAUACCCCGUGAAACUGACGGUACCUGCAGAAUAAGCACCGGCUAACUACGUGCCAGCAGCCGCGGUAAUACGUAGGGUGCAAGCGUUAAUCGGAAUUACUGGGCGUAAAGCGUGCGCAGGCGGUUCGGAAAGAAAGAUGUGAAAUCCCAGAGCUUAACUUUGGAACUGCAUUUUUAACUACCGAGCUAGAGUGUGUCAGAGGGAGGUGGAAUUCCGCGUGUAGCAGUGAAAUGCGUAGAUAUGCGGAGGAACACCGAUGGCGAAGGCAGCCUC
RNAcentral lists this ribosomal RNA (651 nucleotides) under Achromobacter sp. SA006. RNAcentral's name for it is "bacterial SSU rRNA". It matches the Rfam family "Bacterial small subunit ribosomal RNA", at positions 81 to 728 of the family's 1533-position model. Lineage: Bacteria; Pseudomonadati; Pseudomonadota; Betaproteobacteria; Burkholderiales; Alcaligenaceae. The record is from RNAcentral.